UACGGAGGAUCCGAGCGUUAUCCGGAUUUAUUGGGUUUAAAGGGUGCGUAGGCGGCCUAUUAAGUCAGGGGUGAAAGACGGUAGCUUAACUAUCGCAGUGCCUUUGAUACUGAUGGGCUUGAAUGUACUUGAGGUAGGCGGAAUGUGACAAGUAGCGGUGAAAUGCAUAGAUAUGUCACAGAACACCAAUUGCGAAGGCAACUUACUAAAGUAUGAUUGACGCUGAGGCACGAAAGCGUGGGGAUCAAACAGG
This 253-nucleotide ribosomal RNA is filed under the name uncultured bacterium. RNAcentral describes it as "partial 16S ribosomal RNA". It matches the Rfam family "Bacterial small subunit ribosomal RNA", at positions 524 to 776 of the family's 1533-position model. The record is from RNAcentral.